The sequence is a regulatory RNA element, 63 nucleotides long. It matches the Rfam family "terC RNA". The record is from Rfam.
UACCCGAUCCGGGCCCCUCUGACGCGAGCCAUGCCGGCGUUUGCGUGAUGUCGGAUCUAAACC